Molecule: ribosomal RNA, 270 nt
Filed under: uncultured bacterium
Lineage: Bacteria
Description: partial small subunit ribosomal RNA
Rfam family: Bacterial small subunit ribosomal RNA
Source: RNAcentral
AGGACAAACGCUGGCGGCGUACCUAAGACAUGCAAGUCGAACGGAUCAUAUGGUUUCGGCCGUAUGGUGAGUGGCGGACGGGUGAGUAACGCGUAGGAACCUGUCAUCAAGUGGGGGGAUAACGCUGGGAAACCGGCGCUAAUACCGCAUGAGGUCGCAGCAAUGCGAAGAAAGCUUUUCGCGCAAGUGGAAGGCGCUCGAUGAGGGGCCUGCGUCCGAUUAGCUUGUUGGUGGGGUAAAGGCCUACCAAGGCAUCGAUCGGUAGCUGGU